GACGGAGGAUGCAAGUGUUAUCCGGAAUCAUUGGGCGUAAAGCGCGUGUAGGCGGUUCCGUAAGUCCGCUCUGAAAGCCCAGGGCUCAACCCUGGGAGGCGGGUGGAUACUACGGAACUGGAGUACGGAAGAGGAGAUUGGAAUUCCUGGUGUAGCGGUGGAAUGCGCAGAUAUCAGGAGGAACACCGAUGGCGAAGGCAGAUCUCUGGGCCGUAACUGACGCUGAGGAACGAAAGCCAGGGGAGCGAACGGGG
This 254-nucleotide ribosomal RNA is filed under the name uncultured bacterium. RNAcentral describes it as "partial 16S ribosomal RNA". It matches the Rfam family "Bacterial small subunit ribosomal RNA", at positions 524 to 777 of the family's 1533-position model. The record is from RNAcentral.